CAAAGUGAACUUCCUCAAAGUCUGUUAUAAAGACUUGAUGUCGUGCCGUCAGCUGCAGCAGAAGAAGAGAGUUCCCCAUCGGAUAUCAAUCAAUACCGACCAUGUUUUGUGUAGCUGUGCUGCUGCUGCUGGCUGCUGGACACUGUGUGAAGUGUGAAACUUUGACGCAGCCAGCCUCUGUGACUGUGCAGCCAGGUCAACCUCUGACCAUCAGCUGCCAGGUCUCUUAUUCUGUCAGCAGCUACUGGACACAUUGGAUCAGACAGCCUGCAGGAAAAGGACUGGAGUGGAUUGGAAGAAGAGCUGGAGGGAGCACAAACUAUAAAGAUUCACUAAAGAACAAGUUCAGUAUCGAAUUAGACUCUUCCAGCAACACAGUGACUCUAAAGGGACAGAACGUGCAGCCUGGAGACACUGCUGUGUAUUACUGUGCCAGUAACACACAAUGAUACAAACCAUCAGCCGACCUGAACAAAAACCCCUCAGUGCCUGAACACUAGUUACAUGAAGCCACCAGAGGAGGAGCCCAAAGACUACUGGUGAUUUCAGACCAGUUCACUGUUACUGUAAAGAGGAAUCAGACAUAAGUCAUUUAAUCAUUUAACAGUAACUAUUUAUAGCACUUUUAAUACCCUGACAUCCCAGUGACUGAAAUGUCAGCAUGUAUAAUUUAAUAG
Molecule: non-coding RNA, 677 nt
Organism: Platichthys flesus (European flounder)
Lineage: Eukaryota; Metazoa; Chordata; Actinopteri; Pleuronectiformes; Pleuronectidae
Source: the annotation of a RefSeq genome assembly